AUUGAACGCUGGCGGCAUGCUUUACACAUGCAAGUCGAACGGUAACAGGCCGCAAGGUGCUGACGAGUGGCGAACGGGUGAGUAAUGCAUCGGAACGUGCCCAGUCGUGGGGGAUAACUACUCGAAAGAGGAGCUAAUACCGCAUACGAUCUAUGGAUGAAAGCGGGGGACCGUAAGGCCUCGCGCGAUUUGAGCGGCCGAUGUCAGAUUAGGUAGUUGGUGGGGUAAAGGCUCACCAAGCCAACGAUCUGUAGCUGGUCUGAGAGGACGACCAGCCACACUGGGACUGAGACACGGUCCAGACUCCUACGGGAGGCAGCAGUGGGGAAUUUUGGACAAUGGGCGCAAGCCUGAUCCAGCAAUGCCGCGUGCAGGAAGAAGGUCUUCGGGUUGUAAACUGCUUUUGUACGGAACGAAACGGCUCUGGUUAAUACCCGGGGCUAAUGACGGUACCGUAAGAAUAAGCACCGGCUAACUACGUG
RNAcentral lists this ribosomal RNA (482 nucleotides) under uncultured bacterium. RNAcentral describes it as "partial 16S ribosomal RNA". It matches the Rfam family "Bacterial small subunit ribosomal RNA", at positions 30 to 507 of the family's 1533-position model. The record is from RNAcentral.